Long non-coding RNA from Anopheles merus, 1142 nucleotides. RefSeq lists it as uncharacterized. The transcript has 3 exons. The record is from RefSeq and is a predicted model, not a curated record. NCBI's taxonomy places the organism in Eukaryota, Metazoa, Arthropoda, Insecta, Diptera, Culicidae.
UACUUUGUGUUCUUCACUCUCGCGCUGUGUUGUGAUCGUUCGAAACUCAUUGCCAGAACGAAUGCAAAUUUCAUUUGGGAAGGAUCGGUGUCGGAAGAUGCAGUGAAAAUUAUGAAAUGUUAAUAGAAAAGUGAUUAAGUAAAUCGUGAAAGAUGUCAACGCAGGCGUAAAUGCAGUUUGUUUUGUUACAUGAUCUACGGCUAUUUCAUUACCAAAGCUCCUGAUAACAGAUCAAAGCAGAUGGAUCGGGCAUACAGAGUCGCCGUUUAACUUUAAAUAUCUUCCUGAUCGGCAAACACAUCAAACAGCAUGUUUUUUUCAACAGCACGCACCAUCGGUGGAGCAAGCAGUUAACGUUUUGUUCGCCCAGCACGCACCAUCAAGUAUUGAAAUGUUUUCAAAUAGCUUUGUGAAUAAAAACCUGCACACUUACUGUAGGAAUUUCCUGGAAUUUUUUGGUCGGGCUACGCUCGCCGGAAUGGUGUGUCCGUUGAGAAGAAAGAACCCGCUUGGCAAAGAUUAACUCAUUUUGAUGCCUCUCGCUACCCCUAGCCCUAGUGUUGAAGCAGUCAUGCGACACACUCGCACUCCACCACCCCAUCCCAUGCCUAAACGCUCCCACCAUCGAGGUGUUAACCAAAAUUUCGCUGUGUGCAUGAGAUACAGCUCUCGCACUCCCUCCACCCCCAUUCCUGAACGCUCCCACAGUUGCGAUGAUUGCUGAUUUUUGCUCUGAGCGUGAGACCCACACUCACAAUUUUCCAUUCGCCACCACCAUCCCCCACGUAUGUACGCUCCCUCCUCAUUAGUGUUGGUUAAAAUCAGUUAUGAACCGCGAGAUCCCGCUCUACCCAGAGGCACUAUGGACGGAAGACAUUAUGGACAUUCUAGGGUAGGAAAAUAAAUAAUUUUUAUAUACAAAUAUAUGAUUUAUGAAAUACUAUUAAUUGAAUACUUCAUUGAGGAUUAUUACAAUAUGCAUAAUAUUUCAAGCAUAAUGGUCUUUAGCUUGGUCAUUUUAUUGUGACAAUUAUUCGUUAUAAUAUAUUCUGCACGAAAAAUUAUGACAUUUGAUUCGAGCUGUCCCAUAGUGACAGUCCCAUUUUGUUGUUCUUUCUCCCUCACACUUUGAGAGUUCAACA